RNAcentral lists this ribosomal RNA (420 nucleotides) under uncultured Nitrososphaerota archaeon. RNAcentral describes it as "bacterial SSU rRNA". It matches the Rfam family "Archaeal small subunit ribosomal RNA", at positions 459 to 879 of the family's 1478-position model. Lineage: Archaea; Thermoproteati; Nitrososphaerota. The record is from RNAcentral.
CAGCCGCCGCGGUAACACCAGCCCCUCGAGUGGUGGGGAUGAUUAUUUGGCCUAAAGCGUCCGUAGCUGGCCCUGUAAAUCUCUCGUUAAAUCCAACGUCCUAAGCGUUGGGCUGCGAGAGAGACUGCAGAGCUAGAGGGUGGGAGAGGUCAGCGGUAUUCCUGGGGUAGGGGCGAAAUCCAUUGAUCUCAGGAGGACCACCAGUGGCGAAGGCUGCUGACUAGAACACGCCUGACAGUGAGGGACGAAAGCUGGGGUAGCGAAUCGGAUUAGAUACCCGAGUAGUCCCAGCUGUAAACUAUGCAAACUCAGUGAUGCAUUGGCUUGUGGCCAGUGCAGUGCUGCAGGGAAGCCGUUAAGUUUGCCGCCUGGGAAGUACGUACGCAAGUAUGAAACUUAAAGGAAUUGGCGGGGGAGCAC